This 828-nucleotide ribosomal RNA is filed under the name Aphelenchoides gorganensis. RNAcentral's name for it is "bacterial SSU rRNA". It matches the Rfam family "Eukaryotic small subunit ribosomal RNA", at positions 188 to 1036 of the family's 1831-position model. Lineage: Eukaryota; Metazoa; Nematoda; Chromadorea; Rhabditida; Aphelenchoididae. The record is from RNAcentral.
CUUCGGGCUGCAGUGCUAUUAUUGGAGCAAAACUAUUCGUUAGUCCUUUUGCUAACUCUGGAUAAUACUGCGUAUCGCACGACCUGGUGUCGGCGAAGUUUCAUUCGAGUAUCUGCCCUAUCAACUGGUUGGCAGUGUAUUGGACUGCCAUGGUUCUAACGGGUAACGGAGGAUCAGGGUCUGACUCCGGAGAGGGAGCCUUAGAAACGGCUACCAUGUCUAAGGAUAGCAGCAGGCGCGAAAAUUACCCAAUAUCAAUACGAUGAGGUAGUGACGAGAAAUAACGAGUCCGUUCUCUUUGAGGUCGGACAUUGGAAUGGGUACAAUGUAGACAAUUUAACGAGUAUCUACGAGAGGGCAAGUCUGGUGCCAGCAGCCGCGGUAAUUCCAGCUCUCGUAAUACAUAGAAUUAUUGUUGCGGUUAAAAAGUUCAUAGUUGGAUUGUCGAACCGUUCGGGGUGCGUUCGAAAGAGCGUCACUCGUGGGCGGUAUUUUGUGUGUUUGCGGACGUCGGGCUUUCGGGUCGGGCGCGCCGUUGCACGCAGGAUUACUUUGAACGGCUUAAGUGCUCAAGGCGGGUCUUAGGACUGAAUACCGGUGCAUGGAAUAAUGGAACAAGGUUGCGGCCGAGUUUUAUUGGUUUUGUCGGCUGAAACAAUGGUUAACAGGAACAGCCGGGGGCAUUCGUAUCGCUGCGCGAGAGGUGAAAUUCGGGGACCGUAGCGAGACGCACGAAAGCGAAGGCAUUUGCCAAGAGUGUUUUCAUUAAUCAAGAACGAAAGUCAGAGGUUCGAAGGCGAUUAGAUACCGCCUAUUUUCCCCCCCAAA